Benincasa hispida (wax gourd) is the source of this 374-nucleotide non-coding RNA. Lineage: Eukaryota; Viridiplantae; Streptophyta; Magnoliopsida; Cucurbitales; Cucurbitaceae. The record is from RefSeq and is a predicted model, not a curated record.
UCCUUCGGGAUUCACCAGUUUUGUGUUCCCUUUGGAUUCACCAAUUUUGUGUUUCCUUUGGGAUUCAUCAGUUCUGUGUUUCCUUCGGGAUUCACCAGUCUGUGGGAAUACUUAACUACAGUAGAAUAUGACCCAGUCUCUUGCCUGUUUCAUGUGUUUAUGUGCAUAGGUAAAGGUAAAGAUGUAGCGGUGAUGGCGCAGCGGAAUUUGUGAUCGUGUCAUUGGGACUAGUUUUUUUUGCUUCCGCAUGAUGAAAUUUAGAGUCUUUAUUUUUCCUUAAUAUUUAGUUUUACUGUUUGAAAUUUAUUACUAAGGAUUAUUUCUUUUAUAUACUUUUAUUAGUACACAUUUUGGGUACCCUAUUAUUGUUUUAA